Molecule: long non-coding RNA, 301 nt
Filed under: Manihot esculenta (cassava)
Lineage: Eukaryota; Viridiplantae; Streptophyta; Magnoliopsida; Malpighiales; Euphorbiaceae
Description: long non-coding RNA (MESC_LNC011424)
Source: RNAcentral
UCUCACUCAAAGCAAUACACGCCAAAGGCAUGAAAAUAAUUCUGAAAAUUUGAUUAGAAGCUGCCUCUUACAAUUGUUUCUUAUCCUUAUAUAGUAAGGAGAAAAAGAAAUAAAACCCUAAGACACUCUUCUUGGGCCUGACUUAAACACAUAAGACCCAAGCCCAAUCACACACUAAAAUAACAUAUAAGUAUUAAAAUAUAAGCCCACAACAUGGCCCAACACUCUAAAACUUAAAAGAUAAAAUAUGGCCAGAAUACAAGCCCAAACAAAACUAAAAUAAAACAAGUGUUUAAAUAAU